Molecule: ribosomal RNA, 584 nt
Filed under: uncultured bacterium
Lineage: Bacteria
Description: partial 16S ribosomal RNA
Rfam family: Bacterial small subunit ribosomal RNA
Source: RNAcentral
UGGGGAAUAUUGCACAAUGGGCGCAAGCCUGAUGCAGCCAUGCCGCGUGUGUGAAGAAGGCCUUCGGGUUGUAAAGCACUUUCAGCGAGGAGGAAGGUGGUGAGCUUAAUACGCUCAUCAAUUGACGUUACUCGCAGAAGAAGCACCGGCUAACUCCGUGCCAGCAGCCGCGGUAAUACGGAGGGUGCAAGCGUUAAUCGGAAUUACUGGGCGUAAAGCGCACGCAGGCGGUUUGUUAAGUCAGAUGUGAAAUCCCCGGGCUCAACCUGGGAACUGCAUUUGAAACUGGCAAGCUAGAGUCUCGUAGAGGGGGGUAGAAUUCCAGGUGUAGCGGUGAAAUGCGUAGAGAUCUGGAGGAAUACCGGUGGCGAAGGCGGCCCCCCUGGACGAAGACUGACGCUCAGGUGCGAAAGCGUGGGGCAGCAAACAGGAUUAGAUACCCUGGUAGUCCACGCUGUAAAACGAUGUCGAUUUUGGAGGUUGUGCCCCUUGAGGCGUGGCUUCCGGAGCUAACGCGUUAAAUCGACCGCCUGGGGAGUACGGCCGCAAGGUUAAAACUCAAAGGAAUUGACGGGGUCUAGCUG